CAUAAAGUGGCAGAAUUAAUGCGAAGAUUUUAAGCAUCUUAUAUAAACAACAGUUUCUUUAUGU
Molecule: transfer RNA, 64 nt
Filed under: Elysia atroviridis
Lineage: Eukaryota; Metazoa; Mollusca; Gastropoda; Plakobranchidae
Description: tRNA-Leu
Source: RNAcentral